AGUGGGGGAAUGCUGAUGUUGACCUAAGAAAUAAACAUUAUUUCCUUUGGCCUCAAUAACCUGUUUGUUUACCUGGGUAACUGAAACAGACUAUAGUUAUGUUGUUGUUUUUUCGUUUGGCUCUAUUUAAAGCCCAUUGAAUUUGAUUGGUUAAUUUAUUUUUAGCUAUGGCUCUUCGCUGAUCUAUGUGUAAACCCUGUUAUUAGGUCAGAAAUGUGCGUUUUAUUUGUGUUUUCACUCUUUUAUCUGUGGAAUAAUCGCGGAGAGUGAUUCUAGUUCUUCUUGAAUGCUCUGAGCUUUUAUGAGUACAUACGUACAGCUCGGAGGGUCAAUAGCUGGGAGUUGGAUUAUUGCAACUAAGAGUGAUUCAUUAGUAGUUUGCAUAUUAACUUAAGUAAUGUGGAGAUUUAAAAUGUGUGCACUGUACUUGUCUGUUUAAGGUAAUUGCAUUUGGGAUUAAUUGGAGUAUUGAAAUGAUGAUCAAAUGUGAAAUGACACGUUCACGUUACAAUGACCGAUGUUUAUCCACAACAUUGUCAGGCCAGAUAACCAUGUCCAUGUUUGACUUGUGUCAGUGACCAUGUGAUUCAAGGCUUCCAUUGCUGUGGAGUGCAUUGAACGACAUCAUGGCCUAGAAGAACAUACCCGGGGAUAAUACCAGCAGCAACAAGUAUCACGCAACCGCCAAAAUGCACGCCGCCAUUUUGAAGCAUGUCUGAGUGAACCGAUGGUUUCCAUGGAUUCCAUGAAGAUUCAAUUGAUUUGUUGGUUUUUAAUUGUCCAAUUAUUUUUAAAAAUAAACAUUUUGGUGAA
Molecule: long non-coding RNA, 813 nt
Organism: Dreissena polymorpha
Lineage: Eukaryota; Metazoa; Mollusca; Bivalvia; Myida; Dreissenidae
Exons: 3
Source: RefSeq, a predicted model, not a curated record